ACUGUAUAUAGUCAUGUGUCAUGUCCAUAAUAUGCCCUUCCUGUUGAGCCGGGGGUGUGACAUGGUUGAUUGUCCUAGGAUGAUACAUUUAAUGACACUCACACAUAACUGAAGGCACAGACUCGACUUAAUCAUCUCUCAGUCUUCAUAUUUUCAAGCUGGUGGUGCCUGAUAAAAUUCUUGAUAAUUUUUUUAGACAACUAUCCAUGCACAGGUCAGUGAAUUACAUUUUUAGGCAUGAAAGAAAUUUUCUAACAUACCAAAAAUAUGUGGUAAUAUAAAAAAAACCUUCAUGUGUCAGCAGCUAAUGAACUUCUGUCCUCUGAGGCGUGCAGUGAGUGUAGCCAUCAGACUCUCUGCUAAUAGUCAGCAAUCGUCCUCCAUUAGGUUUUCCCAGCCUGACAUAACAAAUAUUUUCAUGCUUCUUCCAUCAGGAUGUCAACCACAGCACAGCACUGAGACGUUGCUAGGUAAAGUUACAGACAUUUACAUAAAUACAGAGCGCAUUUAUACAAAUACUGGUAGAUGAAGUCUCUGGCCGUAUUUUUACAGCAGAGUAUGAGAGUCGACCCAAAAGCAGAUUCAGACGGUGGCACUGUACUUGAUCAAAAUAACAAAGCUUUAUUUACAGAUUGCACUUGAAGCUUUGAACAUAAAGCGUGAGCUACAGGGGGUUCGAAGAUGGGGUCAUGGUCCAAGGGACGAUAGUCAGAGUCAGUAUUAACCAUGUUUAUGAUUUCAGUCUCCUGUUCAGGAGACAGAAGAUGUUCCCGACCACCUCGUGUUGGUAAGUUUUCAGCUCUGCAAUACAAAAAGUAUACUGUAAAAUACUGUGAAUAGGCCUACUAUGUAGGAAUACAAAGUAGGUAUACAUUUCCCAAAUACAUGAAACAUACUUUGCAGUAUUUUCACAGCCUACAGAACAGUCCACAGGCAGUACUGUGCUACAGUAAUGCACUCAUUGAGUACAGUGAGAUUUCUUACAUAUUCUCAUUUCGGAAAGUCCGGAUGAUGGAUGCUACAGUGUACCUGCUCAGAUUUGGCUGUACUCUUUGCCCAGCCACCCUCAUUGUUACACCAUGGUUGACCACAUGGUGAACAAAAAUUGCUUUGAUCUCAUCGUAGAUUACAUUCCUUGUCCUCCCCAUCC
Molecule: long non-coding RNA, 1150 nt
Organism: Oreochromis aureus
Lineage: Eukaryota; Metazoa; Chordata; Actinopteri; Cichliformes; Cichlidae
Source: Ensembl